This 461-nucleotide ribosomal RNA is filed under the name uncultured bacterium. RNAcentral's name for it is "partial 16S ribosomal RNA". It matches the Rfam family "Bacterial small subunit ribosomal RNA", at positions 28 to 507 of the family's 1533-position model. The record is from RNAcentral.
GACGAACGCUGGCGGCGUGCUUAACACAUGCAAGUCGAACGGUAAGGCCUUUCGGGGUACACGAGUGGCGAACGGGUGAGUAACACGUGGGUGAUCUGCCCUGCACUUCGGGAUAAGCCCGGGAAACUGGGUCUAAUACCGGAUAGGACUGCGCGGUGCAUGCCGUGUGGUGGAAAGAUUUAUCGGUGCAGGAUGGGCCCGCGGCCUAUCAGCUUGUUGGUGGGGUAAUGGCCUACCAAGGCGACGACGGGUAGCCGGCCUGAGAGGGCGACCGGCCACACGGGAAUGAGGAAAGGCCCCAACUCCUUACGGAGGGCAGAGUUGGGAAUAUUGCACAAUGGGCGCAAGCCUGAUGCAGCGACGCCGCGUGAGGGAUGACGGCCUUCGGGUUGUAAACCUCUUUCAGCAGGGACGAAGCGUGAGUGACGGUACCUGCAGAAGAAGCACCGGCCAACUACGUG